CGUAGGUCCGAGCGUUGUCCGGAAUUAUUGGGCGUAAAGGGCUUGUAGGCGGUUUGUCACGUCGAAGUGAAACUCAGAGCUUAACUCUGAGCCUGCUUCCGAUACGGGCAAACUAGAGGGAUGCAGGGGAGAACGGAAUUCCUGGUGGAGCGGUGGAAUGCGCAGAUAUCAGGAGGAACACCGGUGGCGAAGGCGGUUCUCUGGGGCAUUUCCUGACGCUGAGAAGCGAAAGCGUGGGAGCAAACAGGCUU
RNAcentral lists this ribosomal RNA (251 nucleotides) under uncultured bacterium. RNAcentral describes it as "partial 16S ribosomal RNA". It matches the Rfam family "Bacterial small subunit ribosomal RNA", at positions 526 to 779 of the family's 1533-position model. The record is from RNAcentral.